UGCUGAGGUUUGAGGUCAGACUGGAUGUCAGCGCUGAUCUGCCGUGACUCUGCUGAUGGAUUCAGAUUUCCUCCAAACCUUCAAGGAAGGCCUGAAGAGGCUCGACGCUUCUGAGAGCUCCAGAGCCAUGAAGCACAAUCGCCCUCAGCUGCUGCUUUAUGUGUGAAACACAUUGUGUACGGAUGGAGGACUGCCUCGUGAUCUAUUUGUUGAUUCUCUCCUGGUCUGGGUCACUGGAUCCAAUUACAUCGCGACCCUUUAAGCCCUUUAGUUCUUGCUGACCGAAGUCUCUCGUCCUCCCGGCGCUGUAAGCCGUCUAUCAGAUAAUGGAACGCUGCCUCCACCUUUCCGCCUCCUCGGGGGAAAUCUGCGAAGAGCAGCUGCCCUUUAUCAAGCAGCUUUUCCCCAGCUUUUCCCAUCUCGCACCUCCCGAGUCAACCCACCUCGACGACAGAGAGAGCAGUGAGCACAUCAUCCACCUGGACUCCAUCAGAAACACACCAAAUACACACUCGGAGAGCUAGCAGGACUGCUCAGAUCUGCUCACGGGGCAUUUACACCGAUAUUACAGAUAAAAGAUGUCAAUGAUCAGGAGAGGGGAAAAGUGGUAAAGGAAUCGAAUUGUGAGUAAAACUGUGCGUGGGUCUCAGACAUGCUCAUUUUAGCAAUACUACAUCCCUAAACUUUCUAAAACAAGGUUCAUCAGAGCAGAAGAACAGAGUGAUGUUUAUUUAGAUGGUGGAAUAUUCUACAGAACGUGGGCAGAAAUGGCCCAUCUAUCUUUCUGAUGAAAUCUUAAAGCAAUCUAGUUCUGUUUUACCUGCUCUUUUUUCGCUAAAACGAGUGUUUAUAUCAAAUUUCAGACCUGGUCCAAUCAUAUUCUGGUCAAUAAAGGUGGUUAAAUAAAUAAAAUCUGUCCUUUUGUAAUGCUGGCAGAG
Long non-coding RNA from Pangasianodon hypophthalmus (striped catfish), 938 nucleotides. RefSeq lists it as uncharacterized. Lineage: Eukaryota; Metazoa; Chordata; Actinopteri; Siluriformes; Pangasiidae. The record is from RefSeq and is a predicted model, not a curated record. The transcript has 3 exons.